AAGGUUCUUUAAGCUUCAUUCAAAUUUCAGACGCUCCCCACCGCCUCUUCAAUCCGUUAGGAGGAUUCGAUCUUGAUUGUGGGUGUUCUCGGUCACUCAAUCCUAGCCGUCUAUAUUGAUCUCAAGAUCUUUAAAUAGAGUUUCUCGUUAAAGAUUCACCGACUUUAUCUUCUGCUGUCCUGGUGAUGGGACUCCGAAGGUGGGUUUUGUGGGUUUAGGUUUUGCUAAUAUUCAUGAUCAUUCAUGAAGAUGGCUUUUGUGGGUGGUGAUUCUUAUAGAUUUUUCAUUUUCGGAAUUCGAGGCCGAAAUAAGCCGAGGUUCUGAUUGUUGGUCGGUUCAUUUUGGAAGAUCUAGGGUUUCAUAAUUCAUGUUGGGUUUCGCCUUGAUUGUCGUUCAAGACAAUUGGAAUUCUGGUGUUAUCGCUGGUCCGUUCGGAAGGGUUGAUCAUUAUUUUCUUAUGGCGUUUGGUCCCUUGUAUCGUCAUAACGGAGUUUAUCUUCUCGUGAUCGGAUUCUGAAGAUGGGUUUUGUGGGUUUACGUUUUACUAAUUAUUCAUGAUAAUUCAUGUUUGAGAUUGUCAAGGUUCAAUUUUGUCGUUUCAUGGGUUGUGGUUAUUUCCGAUUUUGCUUUUCUAAAUUCGAGACCGAAAAUUAGUCGAGGUUCUGAUUGUUGUUCCUUACAGGCUCUUUUUGGGAGAUCCAGGGUUCAAUAAUUCCUGUUGGGUUUCGCCUUGGUGCCCUUUCGUUUGAUCAACCCAAUCCAAUCGGAGGACUCUAUUGUCGAUCAAGACAAUUGGGAUUCUGGUUGUUCCUGGUUCAUUUGGAAGGGUUAAUCAUUAUUUUCUUAUGGCGGGCUGGUCACUUGUUUGGUCAUAACGGUAUGAUUUUUCCUGUUUUAGUGUUGGGUUUAUAUCUUCUUGCCUUCUCGAGUUACAGAGGGCUUGAUAGGAUGCCUAUUGAUAUUGAUCUACUUGCUUACGAUUGUCAUCGUAUUAGGGCAUUGAGAAUUUAGAUUCCAGAUUUUUCUGCCAGUAUUUUCAUUUUUGCAUGACGUUGCAUCAAUGUAGACCCUACAGUGGCUAAUGUAUGAUAUUGAUGUAAAUGCAAAUGUACUCCCUGUAGUGGAAUUUUUGUAUUGGAUACUUUAUCAGGUGUGAUUGAAAUAUGCAAAUGCAAAUACUUGCUCUACCUGUCUCGAGACAUCCUGGGGAUUGUUAAAUUGUAUUUUUCCUGCACGAAGAAGAUUGUGACCUGAGGAAGGAAGAUUUCUAUAAGAUGUUUUAUGAACUCAAAUUGGGCUGUAAUUGUGUGUAGUCUUCCAUCCAUAUUCUAUUCGAUCUGGUGUUUUUCUGAAAUUGCAAAAAAAAUUUGAAGACUAUGUUAUAUCCAUUCUAUUUUGCUACUAAUGAUGGAAUCUUCAUUGCCCUUUAUGAUUUAAUGAACUCCAAUGGGACUGUGAUAGAUUUGAUGGAAUUUUGAUUACCCUUUCACGUUUUUGUGAAGUUUAAUGGGAGAAUUCUUAUGGGGCUCUAGUUGUGCAGUCUUCGAGCCUUAUAUAUAUAAAAUUAUUUUUGGACUUUCUGCUUUCUACUUUCUAUUUUGCUAGAUAUGAUGGAUUUUUGAUUACAUUUUUCAUGUUUUUGUGAACUUUAUGGGAGAAUUCUUACGGGGCUCUAAAUCUAAAUGUGACGUCUUCGAGCGUUUUCUUUAUAUACAUACAUACAUACAUAUAUAUAUAUAUAUUAUUGUUUUUGGACUUUCUAUUUUGCUAGAUAUGAUGGAUUUUUGAUUACCUUUUCACGUUUUUAUGAACUUAAUGAACGAAUUUUUCGGGGCUCUAAUUGUGCCGUCGUCGAGCCUUAUAUAUAUAUAGAAUUAUUUUUGGACUUCCUAUAUUGCUAGAUAUGAUGGAUUUUUGUUACUUUUUUCACGUUUUUGUGAACUUUGUGGGAGAAUUCUUAUGGGGCUCUAGUUGUGCCGUCUUCGAGCCUUUUAUUUAUAUAUAUUAUUGUUUUUGGACAUUCUGCUUUCUACUUUACUUUCUAUUUUGCAAGAUAUGAUGGAUUUUUUAUUACAUUUUCUCGUCUUUGUGAACUUUAAUGGGAGAACUCUUAUGGGGCUCUAAUUGUGCAGUUUUCAAGCCUUUUAAUAUUUAUAUAUAUUAUUAUUUUUGGACUUUCUACUUUCUAUUACCUUUUUCACGUUUUUGUGAACUUUAAUGGGAGAAUUCUUUUGGGCCUCUAAUUGUGCAGUCUUCAAGCCUUUUAUUUAUAUGAUCCAUUAAGGUUGACUAGUGUACAUACCUCCAUUUAGCCAAAGAACAAGUGACUUCUAAGCUGGGUCUGUUUUUGCUUUAACAAAGCAGUAGAAAGGUGCUCUUUGUUACGAUGGGGAACAUCAUUUGGUCGAUUCCAGAAGUGUUUGAGGAAGAUGAGAUGGAACUAGACAAGAUGGUUGGCAAUAUAAGCAGAAGUUCAUUGAACUUCUAUAAUAAAGACGUGAAUAAAUCACGGUAUGAGGCAAUGUGCAAGUCCCUCAAGGAAAAUAGAAAACUUUGGGAAAACUCAGUAAAUACUUAUGUGUGCUCAAGCUUGGGCAAGAUUCCAUUUUAUGGAUUUGAUUUUGGAUGAGGAAAACCCCAAUGGGUUACUAGUCCAAACAGUGCUACAAACAAAAUUGUCUUGUUGGAUACAAAAUGUGGUGAUGGAAUUGAAACUUGGGUAGCCUUGGAGGAGCAAGAGAUGGCGAGAUUGGAACGCGAGAUUGGAUACAAAAUGUGUCUUUUGUAAUUUGAGCCGCUUGUCAGUUAACUCCUCAAGCAUUGGUAUUUACUCUCUUAAACGUAAUUAUCAGUUGCUCUCUCUACAUUGUUUAAUUGUUUGUAUGAUCUAUUCAGAUUCAGCAAUGAUGAUAUCUUAUUCUUAUGAAAAGUACUUUGUUUCUGAGUUUCAGAAGCUACUUCUUAUAAGUUGCAGUAUUAACCUACUUGGUUACUAAACCUAGUUUACUUGAUUCUGGAGGAAACUAUGCUGCAAUAAGAAAAACUGCUGGCACAAUUGCCAUUUAACUAAUAGCAAGAGAUGGUUGAUCCCUGUCAAAUGGCCUAACUUCACAUAUGCAGAUGGGGCUUUUUGUUAUUGAUGUUUGGAAAUUCUUAUUUCGUAUUUGUAGCUUCAUGUUAUAGGCUGUAAUUUACUUUGGGUAUUCAAUUCCAGCAGGGUUGCUGUGAAGUACUGGUUUGUGGUAUUCUUGGAAGUAGCAUGAGAUAGCAUUAUCUGAGAGGGAGUCUCUACUUACCCCCUUCUUUACUUUUACCCUACUAUUUGGAUGCUUACUUAUGCUUCUAUAUUGUAUUUAGCUGUGUGGCUUUUGAGAAAUCUUACCAUGCUUUUGAUAAUAAGCGUACUUUCUGUGAUGUGUAUUGGUUUAGUUCAUGUACGCAGCUAUUCUAUUGUUUUCUUGAUUUUGAGUUAUAAGCUUUUGCGAUGGCAAAAUAUCAGCCUAUCUGGUUAAGUUUGUGAGAAGUAUUAAUGGGACAGGUCUGUUUAUAGUUUGUGCUUUUCAUGAAAUGCACUAACUUGAGGAAAUAACAUCUAUUUCAAUGGAAUUUGACAUGAUUUUUCCUAGUAAUGAAAGUCUACUCUUAUCAGUAUUUUCCAUUAAUUAUCUUUGUGUGAUGAACACUUAAUUCUUCCAAAUGCUUGUAGGUUUCAUUAGUCUUUGACUUUGUAUGGCAGAGGAAAAGUCCCACUAUAAUCUCUGUCGCUAUAUGUGGUGUUGCAUCAAUACAGUGAACUGUCACACUAGCUUUAUGUGUGAAGUGUAGAUGAACUAUUUUUUGCCUCAUUUUUUGGAACUAAUUAAAAAGGGAUGAGAUGAUGACAAAUUGAUAUGAGCUCAUUUCUUGUUUAUGGUUGAGUUUUCAUAAUUUUCUGACAUCCCAAGUGCAGCAAAGGCCCUGCGUAAAUGUUUUAGAUUCUGUCUAAUGCCCAAAGGGAGUGUGCCUCAGGAUUGUAAUACAUUCUUUCUUGUGUUUCUUUACUGUGGAUUCUGAUAGGUUUCGACGAUGUUAAUUAUUAUGGUCAAUUGAAAAGAAGUAUAUGUUGCAUGAAGAGCUUGCCUCGUACCUCACUAACUUUGGAUGAGAACUGAUGUUUUAAUUAUACUAGCUGGUACCUAAAUUAAAUUAGGUAAUUGAUUUCUGAUUUGAUUACUAUGAACUCUUUGAUAAUGUCAUUUUGAUGGACAGCAUGGGUUACUUACUCAUUUAUAUUUUUAUACAGGUCUUUUUACUGUUUCCUAUGAGCUUCUGUGCCAUGUUUGUCAAUUUUCCUUAUUAUGUGUUAGUUUUUUUCCCCUCGUGAAUCUUGAAUCAAUUGUGCAUAACUGUGUGGGUAAGCUCCUGGAAGUGGAAUGGCAUCACAUUUAUUCGAUAUGUACCGAUGCUUUAUGCUUGAUUAUACAAAACUGAGAGGCAGAGCAUGUUGCUUAAGAUGGCUAUUUGUUCGAUUCAUGUUUUACUAGCUGCGCUGUUGUUUUUUAUUUUCCAAUUGAUCCACUAUUGCAGCUUUUUGUUUGGGAUGCCUUUAGUGCUUCUGUGAUCCUCUAAGAGAAUCCCACUCGAACCCAAUUCAGAGAUCACUCCUUUCUUAUUGCAAAACUUCCCUUUCCAUACAUGAUCCUCAUGGACAACCCAACCAUUCAACACUUUUUGUAUGGUGGACAUUCAUUGAUGGUGUUCUCAUAGAUUCAUGUUUACAUUCCCAAAUGGGGAAAGCUAAGCCGAAGGCACAAAGGUUUUUCCUCGAACAGUUGAUGUUAGCAGAGUUGAAUAUAUUAUAACUACAACUCAAUCGUCAAAAAAUACUAUGGUUUUGAUAAUAUGCUUUUGAUAAUAGCGUACUUUCUGCGAUGUGUAUUGGUUUAGUUCAUGUACGCAGCUGUUCUAUCGCUUUCGUGAUUCAAGGUUAUAAGCUUUUGUGAUGGCAAGAAGUAUUUGGCAGUGAGGCUUUUGAGAAAUCUUACUAUGCUUUUGAUAAUAGCAUACUUUCUGAGAUGUGUAUUGGUUUAGUUCACGUACGCAACUGUUUUAUAGCUUUUGUGAUUUUAGGUUAUAAGCUUUUGUGAUGGCAAGAAGUAGAAAUAAUUGUAGAAAUGCCCUCUUAAUAGAAUUCGAGGCCAGAGUUGAAAUUGGUGUUCCUUCUAGGAGAACUUUUAUAUGGCAUAUAAAACUUUGAAUCCUGGGUUUGGAUUGUGGGCAAGUUCUGUUCAUACUUGUCACCUUCCACUCGUGCCAUUUUUUCCUUAUCUUUCUUGUGUUUCUAUAUGAUAAUGGCCUCUUUUUAACUGUCAUCAUUUGCCGGACAGUAAGAGUUACUCAUUUUUUCUACUGUUUCCUAUGUGCUCCUAGCCAUAUUGUAUAUAACUGUGAGGGUGGUAAGAUUCUGGAAGUGGCAUGCAUGACAUAACAUUUGUUUGACAUGUGCUGACAUUUGAUGCAUGAUCAUGCGGAACUGAGAGGCUGGGCACAUUGCCUAGGAUGGUUGUUUGAUUCAGGUAUUAGUAUUACUAGCUGCUUUGUUGUUCUUUAUUUUCCAAGUGAUCUACUGUUGCAGCUUUUUGUUUGGGAUGCCUUGGUGCUUCUGUGAAUCUCCAAGAAAAUCCCACUCGAACCCAAUUCAGAUAUCACCCCUUUUUUACUCUCGAACUUCUCUUUCCCAACACGAUCCUCGUUGACAGGUUAGCUCUAGCUGGGUUGUAAAGCCAACCAUUCGACACUCUGUGUCAUGGACAUCCAUAGAUGGUGUUCUCAGAGAUUCAUGUUUACAUUCCCAAAUGGGGGAUGGCCACUAUGAAGGCACAAAGGUUUUUCCUCGAACAAUUUAUGUUAACGGAAGUUGAAUAUUUUAUAACUACUACUCAAUAGUGAAAGAAUGCGGAGCUUGGGAGGGUUAUGUGCGAUUGCUUGCAAUCAAAAUUCAAAAUUGAUGCUAAUUGAAUAUCCAAGUUCCAUUUGUACGAAGAUGGGAACAAACUCAUUCCUCAUGGAGAAUGAAAAGAUUACAAUUCAGUGGGUUAGGAGCUUAUUACUUGCAAUGCGGUCAGAUAAAAGGGCAAACGAUGUAUUCUGGAGAAGGAUAUGAUGGUGGAGGGUGCAGAUAAAAACCAACUCGAGGUUGAUGGAUAUAGUUUCAUCUCAUGAAGUUCAAUGGCCACAAAGAAAUUACAUCAGAAUGAGGGUGUGCAAAUUCUUGCCACAUGUUAUGGGCAAGAAAAGGGAAAGAAAAUUGUUCAGCUUGUCAAGUUAAUCUCAGGUUUGGGUUUGGGCAGGUUGUGAGAAUGGAGCUUCAUGAGAUGCUCCUCUAGUCGUUGCAUAAGAUAAGAUGUCCCCAUAGAUCUGUGUCCAUCCACCAACUUGGAAAAACCACAAAAAUAAGUAUACUGGAUAUUUUAGCCUCAGUUCAUAACUUAUGUUCAUUCACCAACUAACCUGUCUUCCUUCAAACCAGACUCUAUAAGGCACAGUAGUGUUUAGUAUCAACUGCUUUGUCAAUCGAUUGACUUGAAUUUUGAACAGAAACCAAUUAGAUGCAAGUCUUAAGCAAUCAUUCUCCAAGUGAUAUGCAAAUGGGUGUUGUCUUGAGAAUAUAUGGCAUAAACUGAUGAAAGUGUUUAUUACUGCUCUCAGGGGACAUGUUUUGUUUGAAAGCAUCAGUAGAGCAUUAACUCCAUUCUCAUUACCUGUAAACCCAGAUUCCGAUGCCAGAUUUUCCAAGUAAGUUUAGUUGCUUGCAUUUUUGGACUCUAAUUGUGGCUAGAGUAGAUGAAGAAGAACCAUGCAAAAUAUAAGUAUGUGCUGAAACAAACUGAGUUGAAUUGUGGAGGAUUUCAAAUGUCAUAGCUGGUCAGGUAACAUAGUUACUUGCAGAUUUUUGUUUUUGAUUCUUGGAAUCAUGGAGAGAUUGGUGGGGGAACAAUGAAAAUGAAUAAAUCAAUAGAGCUCUGAAGAGAAGGGAAAACACUGGUGGGACUUGACAGACCAUUAAAGAGAGAAAUUAUGUCGGUUAUUUCUGGGACCAAGGCUUGUGGCUUAUUGAUUGAAAGUGAUGGUCUUGAUGUUUGGUUUUCAGUUACGAUUCACCCGAUGAAGAGGACAGGGAACAAUUACCCAUGGAGAAAAAGGAGGCAAAUGUCGAUAUCGAGGAACGAAUAUAAUUAUAUGAACAGGACAGACUUUGUUUCUCUAAGCUGAGGUGGAUAGAAAAAUGACUACACCUUCAGUGCAUUUGGCUCAAAUCCUUCUUUGACAUCAACAAUCAACAAUGUCAAGGAAAAUAAAAGUCAAGCAGUACUGCUGUAAAGUUGGAGACAAGAGAGGAGGUUGCGAUCAAGAAGAUCGGCAAUGCAUUUGACAACUGAAUAUAUGCAAAAAAGACCUGAAUAUAUGCAAAAAAGACCUUAUAUGGGAUUAAGCUUCUUCGACACAUGGAUCAUGAAAAUGUAUGUUUCUUGACCUUUCUUCUCUCUUUUAUAUUUCGUGCUUUUUGUGAAAUAUGCUAACAUGAGGAAAUAACAUCUAUUUCCUGGAGCCUUUGCUGGACACUUGACUUGGAAUUUCAAAAUUGAAAAAGAAUGAAAGAACGGUAGAUAAAACUUUGGCAAUGGGAAAAAGUGAGAAUAACUCAAUGGGCAGGUCCGUUUAAAUUUUGUGUUUUUCAUGAAAUUUUCAUGAAAUACACUAACUUGAGGAAACAACUUCUAUUUCCUGGAGCCUUCGCUAUACACUUGGCGUGAAAUUUCAAAUCUGAAAAAGAGUGAAUGAACCCUGUGAGAGGAAUUUAGAAUAAGGAAAAAGUGAGAAACUCUAAAUGAGCAGGUUUGUUUAUAUUUAGUGCUUUUCAGGAAAUAUGCUAAUAUGAGGAAAUAAUAAUAUCUAUUUCCUGGAGCCUUUGCUGAACACUGACUUGGCUUGGAAUUUCAAAACUGAAAAAGAUUUAAUGAACGGUGAGAGUGGACUUUGGUAGGGGGAAAAAGUGAGAAGCACUCAAUGGGUAGGUCCGUUUAAAUUUUGUGCUUUUCAUGAGAUAUAAUCAAUAGGAAACAUUUAUUUCCUGGAGCCUUUGAUGUACUGGAAAAAAAUGAAUGGUAAGAGAGGACUUUGGCAUGUGAAAAAAGCGUAAAGCACUCAAUGGGCAGGUUUGUUUAAAUGUUGUGAUUUUCAUGAAAUACAUUGACCUAAGGAAACAUCUUCUAUUUCGUGGAGCCCUUGUUGUACACUCGGCUAGGAAUUUCAAAACUCAAAAAAAAUGAAUGAACUAUGAUAGGACUUUGGCAUGGGGAAAAAAUGAGAAGCACUCAAUAGCAGGUUCGUUUAUAUUUUGUGCUUUUCAUGAAAUAUGCUAGUCUGUGGAAAUAACAUAUAGUUCAUGGAGCCUUGGCUACUCACUUGACUUGGAAUUUCAAAAAUGAAAAAGACUGAAUGAAUGGUGAGAGAGGAUUUGACAUGGUGAAAAAGUGAGAAGCUCUAAAUGGGCAAGUUUGUUUAUAUGAUAGGACAUUGGCAUGGGGAAAAAAUGAGAAGCACUCAAUAGACAAGUCCGUUUAUAUUUUGUGUUUUUCAUGAAAUAUGCUAGUCUGUGGAAAUAACAUGUAGUUCCUGGAGCCUUGGCUACUCACUUGACUUGGAAUUUCAAAAAUGAAAAAGACUGAAUGAAUGGUGAGAGAGGAUUUGGCAUGGUGAAAUAGUGAGAAGCUUUAAAUGGGCAGGUUUGUUUAUAUUUCGUGCUUUUCGUGAAAUAUGUUAAACAUGUGACAUCUAUUUCCUGGAGCCUUUGAUGUACACUUGGCUUGGAAUUUCAAAACGGAAAAAGAUUUAAUGAACGGUGAGAGAGGACUUUGGCAUGGGGAAAAUGUGAGAAGCACUCAAUGGGCAGAUCCGUUUAAAUUUUGUGCUUUUCAUAAAAUAUACUCAAUAGGAAAUAUCUAUUUCUUGAAGCCUUUGAUGUACUGGAAAAAAAAGAAUGUACGGUAAGGGAGGACUUUGGCGUGUGGAAAAAGUGAGAAGUCAAUGGGCAUGUCCGCUUAAAUUUUGUGCUUUUCAUUAAAGACACUAAUAUGAGGAAACAUCUUCUAUUUUGUGGAGCCUUUGUUGUACUCUUGGCUUGGAAUUUCAAAACUCAUAAAAAUGAAUGAACUAUGAGAGGACUUUGGCAUGGGAAAAAAGUGAGAAGCACUCAAUGGACAUGUCCUUUUAUAUUUUGUGUUUUUUCAUGAAAUAUGCUAGCCUAUGGAAAUAACAACGAGUUCCUGGAGCCUUGGCUUCUCACUUGACUUGGAAUUUCAAAAAUGAAAAAGACUGAAUGAAUGGUACGGGAGGAUUUGGCAUGGUGAAAAAGUGAGAAGCUCUAAAUGGGCUAGUUCGUUUAUGUCAUGCUUUUCAUGAAAUAUGCUCUCUUUUUUUUUUUUGAAAGGCCCACAGGCCACACACACGCUAAGCCAUGCUCGAGGGGCAUGAA
Molecule: long non-coding RNA, 9514 nt
Organism: Tripterygium wilfordii
Lineage: Eukaryota; Viridiplantae; Streptophyta; Magnoliopsida; Celastrales; Celastraceae
Exons: 3
Source: RefSeq, a predicted model, not a curated record